Molecule: small RNA, 147 nt
Filed under: Theobroma cacao (cacao)
Lineage: Eukaryota; Viridiplantae; Streptophyta; Magnoliopsida; Malvales; Malvaceae
Description: sRNA Tc05v2_g010970
Source: RNAcentral
UAUUGGAAGAGAAUUCAACUACAAAGAAACCCUAAGGUUCCAACAAGGCCUCACUUGCCCAUUUGAACCAUUAGUGGAGGUUAGAGUCGAUUAGAAGUUCAGCAAUACCGAUUUGGAGGUAGUUGGGACCUAGAUUGAGUCGCACAC